This 256-nucleotide ribosomal RNA is filed under the name uncultured bacterium. Its description in RNAcentral is "partial small subunit ribosomal RNA". It matches the Rfam family "Bacterial small subunit ribosomal RNA", at positions 26 to 285 of the family's 1533-position model. The record is from RNAcentral.
AGGACGAACGCUGGCGGCGUGCUUAACACAUGCAAGUCGAGCGGAAAGGCCCUUCGGGGUACUCGAGCGGCGAACGGGUGAGUAACACGUGAGCAACCUGCCCUUAGCUUCGGGAUAGCUCCGGGAAACCGGAAUUAAAUACCGAAUAUGAUUUUUGCUGACAUCAAGCAGAAGUGGAAAGUUUUUCGGCUAGGGAUGGACUCGCGGCCUAUCAGCUAGUUGGUGAGGUAACGGCCCACCAAGGCGACGACGGGUA